AUGACCUCUUUGCCCAAAUCUCUGCGUUUGAUCAGAGAUUGGAGAUGUUGGGCGAUGCUUCCUCUGGUGGCUUUCAUACCUCUGCAAACGCUGCCUACAGAGGCCGCGACCAAGCUCGUGGGAAACCCUACCGUGGGCGAGGCACAAGGGGGCGGGGACGUGGAGAUCGGCAGCCGUCCCCUGCUCGCGGUGGGAACAGCUACAGAGGACGCCAGCGACAGGACCAACCUCAACAGGCGCAUGAUCAAUAGCAGCGCGACAACCCCGAGUGCCAAAUAUGCCUCAAGUAUCAUCCGGGGGGGGCGGCUCUGCUGGUGGCGCUAUGAAGAUGGAGAACCAGAAGAAAAGGCAGCGCAUGCAGCCACCUACGGCGUAGAUACCAACUGGUACGCCGACACGGGAGCCACAAAUCAUAUCACAGGAGAACUUGAUCAGCUGACGAUGCGGGAGAAGUACAACGGAGGCGAUCAAAUCCACACGGCAAGCGAUUCUGGAUCUGGCCACACGGAGAAUCAUUCUUAG
RNAcentral lists this ribosomal RNA (522 nucleotides) under Triticum aestivum (bread wheat). Its description in RNAcentral is "partial small subunit ribosomal RNA". Lineage: Eukaryota; Viridiplantae; Streptophyta; Magnoliopsida; Poales; Poaceae. The record is from RNAcentral.